Long non-coding RNA from Limulus polyphemus (Atlantic horseshoe crab), 527 nucleotides. RefSeq lists it as uncharacterized. NCBI's taxonomy places the organism in Eukaryota, Metazoa, Arthropoda, Merostomata, Xiphosura, Limulidae. The record is from RefSeq and is a predicted model, not a curated record. The transcript has 2 exons.
AUGGCACGAAGUAAUUAUGUUUGUUUGCGCAAGCAAGCCGAAAACGGCUAUAUAAACUUAAGAGCUUAGGUGAAACAACACAUACAUUCAGCCAAUUUUAGUCAACGAAAAAGUAAAUAUUUACAAGUUUCGUCAAAUUAACUUGCUGAAACGGAAACCAUGGACUCUAUGAACAGUCAACGUCAGGGCGGAAUCCAGGCACUUGAGAGACAGCAGAAACGGAACACAAAACAGGAAGAACCAGGAAAUCACCCAGAAGAAGAUAAGGAUCUUUCUGAGGGGCAGACCGAAGUUCCAAAGAGAGAAGGCCAGGAAAGCGUUCAAGAAAAAUAAUUAAAACGACGAUUUUUGUAUAAUAUAAAGUUUAUUUAUUGCACCUGUCCUUUAUUUAUUUUUUACUUGUAUCUAAACUAUAUUUGUAUCGUUCAUUUAGAUUGAGUUGCUGUCGUACGUAAGAUCUGAGAUUUUUCAGUUUCAAAUAUGUUGUAGUUGCCGUGAAAUAAAUAUAUUAUUAACAUAAAAGAAAA